RNAcentral lists this ribosomal RNA (433 nucleotides) under uncultured Limnohabitans sp. RNAcentral's name for it is "bacterial SSU rRNA". It matches the Rfam family "Bacterial small subunit ribosomal RNA", at positions 1 to 441 of the family's 1533-position model. The record is from RNAcentral. Lineage: Bacteria; Pseudomonadati; Pseudomonadota; Betaproteobacteria; Burkholderiales; Comamonadaceae.
CUCGGAGUUUGAUCCUGGCUCAGAUUGAACGCUGGCGGAAUGCUUUACACAUGCAAGUCGAACGGUAGAGGGGGCAACCCCUUGAGAGUGGCGAACGGGUGAGUAAUAUAUCGGAACGUGCCCAGUCGUGGGGGAUAACGUAGCGAAAAUUACGCUAAUACCGCAUACGAUCUAAGGAUGAAAGCGAGGGAUCGCAAGACCUCGCGCGAUUGGAGCGGCCGAUAUCAGAUUAGGUAGUUGGUGGGGUAAAGGCUCACCAAGCCAACGAUCUGUAGCUGGUCUGAGAGGACGACCAGCCACACUGGAACUGAGACACGGUCCAGACUCCGUACGGGAGGCAGCAGUGGGGAAUUUUGGACAAUGGGCGCAAGCCUGAUCCAGCCCAUGCCGCGUGCAGGAAGAAGCAUCUAUGGUGUGUAAACUGCUUUUAGAC